This 72-nucleotide transfer RNA is filed under the name Ictidomys tridecemlineatus (thirteen-lined ground squirrel). Its description in RNAcentral is "Spermophilus tridecemlineatus (thirteen-lined ground squirrel) tRNA". It matches the Rfam family "tRNA". Rfam says of the family: Transfer RNA (tRNA) molecules are approximately 80 nucleotides in length. Their secondary structure includes four short double-helical elements and three loops (D, anti-codon, and T loops). The record is from Rfam by way of RNAcentral. Lineage: Eukaryota; Metazoa; Chordata; Mammalia; Rodentia; Sciuridae.
AAGGAUGCAGUUCAGAGGCAGAGUGCUUGCCUAAUAUGUAAGAGGACCUGGGUUUGAUCCCCAGCAACCCAA